UCGGAGACGGUGCUCGUGCGGGCGGUGAUGCGACAUGCGUAUCCGAAAGACUCUCGGCAACGGAUAUCUCGGCUCUUGCAUCGAUGAAGAACGUAGCGAAAUGCGAUACUUGGUGUGAAUUGCAGAAUCCCGUGAACCAUCGAGUCUUUGAACGCAAGUUGCGCCCGAAGCCAUUAGGCUGAGGGCACGCCUGCCUGGGUGUCGCCCAUCGUUGCCCCAGUGCCUUGGCCUCGUGCUAGGCACCGAGCUGGGUGAAUGUUGGCUUCCCGCGAGCAACGCCUCACGGUUGGUUGAAAAUUGAGUCCGUGGUGGAGGGCGCGCCGUGACGGAUGGUGGUUGAG
RNAcentral lists this ribosomal RNA (341 nucleotides) under Crotalaria incana. Its description in RNAcentral is "5.8S ribosomal RNA". The stretch from base 49 to 204 matches the Rfam family "5.8S ribosomal RNA". Lineage: Eukaryota; Viridiplantae; Streptophyta; Magnoliopsida; Fabales; Fabaceae. The record is from RNAcentral.